Molecule: small RNA, 155 nt
Filed under: Salmonella enterica subsp. enterica serovar Paratyphi C
Lineage: Bacteria; Pseudomonadati; Pseudomonadota; Gammaproteobacteria; Enterobacterales; Enterobacteriaceae
Description: STAXI
Rfam family: STAXI RNA
Source: RNAcentral
GGUGAUCACAACACCAAUGUUCCGGCAAUCUGAGAGGGACGCCUUCGGGUGAUUGCACACCAAUGUCAUCGUAGCCUGAGAGGUGACGCCUUCGGGUGGUACAGCCCUUUAAUCUUUGGAAACGGCUGUCGCAGCAUUUUGCGAUGAAGAUAUUU